CCUACGGGAGGCUGCAGUGGGGAAUAUUGGACAAUGGGCGAAAGCCUGAUCCAGCCAUGCCGCGUGUGCGAAGAAGGCCUUCGGGUUGUAAAGCACUUUCAGUGGGGAAGAAAGCCUUGGGGCUAAUACCCUCGAGGAAGGACAUCACCCACAGAAGAAGCACCGGCUAACUCCGUGCCAGCAGCCGCGGUAAUACGGAGGGUGCGAGCGUUAAUCGGAAUUACUGGGCGUAAAGCGCGCGUAGGCGGUCUGAUAAGCCGGUUGUGAAAGCCCCGGGCUCAACCUGGGAACGGCAUCCGGAACUGGCAGGCUAGAGUGCAGGAGAGGAGGGUAGAAUUCCCGGUGUAGCGGUGAAAUGCGUAGAGAUCGGGAGGAAUACCAGUGGCGAAGGCGGCCUUCUGGACUGACACUGACGCUGAGGUGCGAAAGCGUGGGUAGCAAACAGGAUUAGAUACCCUUGUAGUC
This 465-nucleotide ribosomal RNA is filed under the name Vreelandella stevensii. RNAcentral's name for it is "partial 16S ribosomal RNA". It matches the Rfam family "Bacterial small subunit ribosomal RNA", at positions 338 to 795 of the family's 1533-position model. The record is from RNAcentral. Lineage: Bacteria; Pseudomonadati; Pseudomonadota; Gammaproteobacteria; Oceanospirillales; Halomonadaceae.